Molecule: unclassified non-coding RNA, 336 nt
Filed under: soil metagenome
Description: partial contains 5.8S ribosomal RNA, internal transcribed spacer 2, and large subunit ribosomal RNA
Rfam family: 5.8S ribosomal RNA (bases 1-120)
Source: RNAcentral
GAUGAAGAACGCAGCGAGAUGCGAUAAGUAAUGUGAAUUGCAGAAUUCAGUGAAUCAUCGAAUCUUUGAACGCACAUUGCGCCCGCCAGUAUUCUGGCGGGCAUGCCUGUUCGAGCGUCAUUUCAACCAUCAAGCCCCAGGCUUGUGUUGGGGACCUGCGGCUGCCGCAGGCCCUGAAAACCAGUGGCGGGCUCGCUGUCACACCGGGCGUAGUAGAUUUUAUCUCGCUCAGGGCGUGCUGCGGGUUCCGGCCGUUAAAAAGCCUUUUUUACCCAAGGUUGACCUCGGAUCAGGUAGGAAGACCCGCUGAACUUAAGCAUAUCAAUAAGCGGAGGA